AGUGAACGCUGGCGGUAGGCCUAACACAUGCAAGUCGAACGGCAGCACAGUAAGAGCUUGCUCUUACGGGUGGCGAGUGGCGGACGGGUGAGGAAUACAUCGGAAUCUACUUUUUCGUGGGGGAUAACGUAGGGAAACUUACGCUAAUACCGCAUACGACCUACGGGUGAAAGCAGGGGAUCUUCGGACCUUGCGCGAUUGAAUGAGCCGAUGUCGGAUUAGCUAGUUGGAGGGGUAAAGGCCCACCAAGGCGACGAUCCGUAGCUGGUCUGAGAGGAUGAUCAGCCACACUGGAACUGAGACACGGUCCAGACUCCUACGGGAGGCAGCAGUGGGGAAUAUUGGACAAAGGGCGCAAGCCUGAUCCAGCCAUACCGCGUGGGUGAAGAAGGCCUUCGGGUUGUAAAGCCCUUUUGUUGGGAAAGAAAAGCAGCAGGUUAAUACCCCGCUGUUCUGACGGUACCCAAAGAAUAAGCACCGGCUAACUUCGUG
This 492-nucleotide ribosomal RNA is filed under the name uncultured bacterium. RNAcentral's name for it is "partial 16S ribosomal RNA". It matches the Rfam family "Bacterial small subunit ribosomal RNA", at positions 29 to 507 of the family's 1533-position model. The record is from RNAcentral.